AGGCGCUUAGCUCAGCUGGGAGAGCGCUACCUUCACACGGUAGAGGUCAACGGUUCGAUCCCGUUAGCGCCUACCA
This 76-nucleotide transfer RNA is filed under the name Acidobacteriota bacterium. RNAcentral describes it as "tRNA-Val". It matches the Rfam family "tRNA". Rfam says of the family: Transfer RNA (tRNA) molecules are approximately 80 nucleotides in length. Their secondary structure includes four short double-helical elements and three loops (D, anti-codon, and T loops). Further hydrogen bonds mediate the characteristic L-shaped molecular structure. tRNAs have two regions of fundamental functional importance: the anti-codon, which is responsible for specific mRNA codon recognition, and the 3' end, to which the tRNAs corresponding amino acid is attached (by aminoacyl-tRNA synthetases). tRNAs cope with the degeneracy of the genetic code in two manners: having more than one tRNA (with a specific anti-codon) for a particular amino acid; and 'wobble' base-pairing, i.e. permitting non-standard base-pairing at the 3rd anti-codon position. The record is from RNAcentral. Lineage: Bacteria; Pseudomonadati; Acidobacteriota. RNAcentral also lists the same sequence under 2 other names.